CAUGUCUUUUUGAGAAUAAUUUAAGGUCUAACCUGCCCGCUGAGGUUUUGAAUGGCCGCGGUAUUUUGACCGUGCAAAGGUAGCAUAAUCAUUAGUUUUUUGAUUGAAAGCUGGAAUGAAUGGUUGGACGAGAAAAUUUCUGUCUCUGACUAAUUUUUUUUAAAAUUUAACUUUUGAGUGAAAAGGCUCAAAUUUUUUUGAAAGACGAGAAGACCCUAUAGAGUUUUAUUAAUUUGAUUAGACUUUUUUGUAAAGAAUUUAUAUAUAUUUCUUUUUUAGUUAAUUUUGUUGGGGUGACAGGAAGAUAAAUAAAACUCUUUUUAAUUGUUGGGCAAUUAUUUUUGUUUUUUUGAUUCAUUAUUAUUUGAUUAAAAGUUUAAAUUACCUUAGGGAUAACAGCGUAAUUUUUAUAGAGAGUUCUUAUCGAAAUAAAAGAUUGCGACCUCGAUGUUGGAUUAAAGUUAAUUUUUAGUGCAGGAGCUUUAAAUAUUGGGUCUGUUCGACCUUUAAAACUUUACAUGAUCUGAGU
RNAcentral lists this ribosomal RNA (529 nucleotides) under Eulichas funebris. RNAcentral describes it as "partial 16S ribosomal RNA". It matches the Rfam family "Bacterial large subunit ribosomal RNA", at positions 1816 to 2610 of the family's 2925-position model. The record is from RNAcentral. Lineage: Eukaryota; Metazoa; Arthropoda; Insecta; Coleoptera; Eulichadidae.